This is a long non-coding RNA of Hibiscus syriacus, 388 nucleotides long. RefSeq lists it as uncharacterized. The record is from RefSeq and is a predicted model, not a curated record. The transcript has 3 exons. Lineage: Eukaryota; Viridiplantae; Streptophyta; Magnoliopsida; Malvales; Malvaceae.
UUAAGAAGUUCGAUUACAGUCGAGGCUUGAAAUUGGUGGUCCGAUGUGAUAAGAACAUCACCAUUUAUGAAAAUCCAAAGAAAAUCAUUCUUCCGAGCGUCUAUGAUCUCAAACUUGAUGUGGUGAAGUCAUCAGUUACCCUUGAGGAUCUUUUAGAUGAUAUUCUAUGAACAAGUCGUCCUGCAACCCUAUCAUUGUUCUCAACUUCCAAAAGCAGUCUCUGCGAGCUAGUCUUUAAGAAACUAAUGGCACCAGAGAAGGAUCCUGGCUGCUGCACAUACAAUUCUACCAGUAACAAAUGCUAGCGUCACUUUCUGGAUAACAUCAAAACCGAGGACAUUGUCAAUGGCGAAAGUAUAUCUGAAUGGAUUGCUUGGUUGAGGUUAUA